Molecule: small nuclear RNA, 192 nt
Organism: Jaculus jaculus (lesser Egyptian jerboa)
Lineage: Eukaryota; Metazoa; Chordata; Mammalia; Rodentia; Dipodidae
Product: U2 spliceosomal RNA
Exons: 1
Source: RefSeq, a predicted model, not a curated record
AUAGCUUCUCAGCCUUUUGGCUAAGAUCAUAUGUAGUAUCUAUUUUUAUCAGUUUAAUAUCUGAUACGUCCGCUAUCCGAGGACAAUAUAUUAAAUGGAUUUGGGGAGCUUGGAGUUGGAAUAGAAGCUUACUCCGUCCACUCCAUGCAUCCACCUGGUAUUGCAGUGCACCCCCUCAGAGGAGUAAAAAAA